RNAcentral lists this ribosomal RNA (274 nucleotides) under uncultured bacterium. Its description in RNAcentral is "partial 16S ribosomal RNA". It matches the Rfam family "Bacterial small subunit ribosomal RNA", at positions 523 to 796 of the family's 1533-position model. The record is from RNAcentral.
AUACAGAGGGUGCAAGCGUUAUUCGGAAUUACUGGGCGUAAAGCGCGCGUAGGCGGAUGAUUAAGUCAGUUGUGAAAGCCCUGGGCUCAACCUAGGAACUGCAUCUGAUACUGGUCGUCUAGAGUUUAAGAGAGGGAAGUGGAAUUCCAGGUGUAGCAGUGAAAUGCGUAGAUAUCUGGAGGAACAUCAGUGGCGAAGGCGACUUCCUGGCUUAAAACUGACGCUGAGGUGCGAAAGCGUGGGUAGCGUACGGGAUUAGAAACCCUAGUAGUCC